Non-coding RNA from Schistosoma margrebowiei, 49 nucleotides. The record is from Rfam. Lineage: Eukaryota; Metazoa; Platyhelminthes; Trematoda; Strigeidida; Schistosomatidae.
AUCUAGUUGAUGAGUCCCAAAAUAGGACGAAACGUGCGUCUAAUUGGAU